RNAcentral lists this ribosomal RNA (424 nucleotides) under uncultured bacterium. Its description in RNAcentral is "partial 16S ribosomal RNA". It matches the Rfam family "Bacterial small subunit ribosomal RNA", at positions 360 to 776 of the family's 1533-position model. The record is from RNAcentral.
AAUUUUGGACACUGGGCGCAAGGCUGAUCCAGCCCUGCCGCGCGAGUGGGGAAAGCCUCCGGGUUUUAACGCCCUUUCGGACGGGGAGAAAUCGCGGAGGCCAAUACCCCGCGCGGAAGACGGUACCGCCAAAACAAGCACCGACUCCCUACGUGCCAGCGGCCGCGGUAAUACGUAGGGUGCGAGCGUUAAUCGGAAUUACUGGGAGUAAAGCGUGCGCAGGCGGUUGGUUAAGACAGGCGUGAAAUCCCCGGGCUUAACCUGGGACCUGCGCUUGUGACUGGUCAACUAGAGUACGGCAGAGGGGGGUGGAAUGCCACGUGUAGCAGUGAAAUGCGUAGAGAUGUGGAAGAACACCGAUGGCGAAGGCAGCCCCCUGAGCCGAUACUGACGCUCAUGCACGAAAGCGUGGGUAGCAAACAGG